AUCCUUGCACUCGGGGCAUUAAGCUAGGCAAUGACGUUUUACGGACGCCAGCUUUUUUGCGCAUUGAAAAUUACAUUUUCCAUACCCCUGAUUUCUUCCAACGAAGAGAUCGACUUUUUAGCUACCCUCGCGG
Molecule: small nuclear RNA, 133 nt
Rfam family: U4 spliceosomal RNA
About the family: U4 small nuclear RNA (U4 snRNA) is a component of the major U2-dependent spliceosome. The structure of U4 snRNA from yeast and human has been reported.
Source: Rfam